GUAAGCCUACGGGACGUAGCAGUCGAGAAUCAUUCACAAUGGGGGAAACCCUGAUGGUGCGACGCCGCGUGGGGGAAUGAAGGUCUUCGGAUUGUAAACCCCUGUCAUGUGGGAGCAAAUUAAAAAGAUAGUACCACAAGAGGAAGAGACGGCUAACUCUGUGCCAGCAGCUGCGGUAAUACAGAGGUCUCAAGCGUUGUUCGGAAUCACUGGGCGUAAAGCGUGCGUAGGCUGUUUCGUAAGUCGUGUGUGAAAGGCGCGGGCUCAACCCGCGGCCGGCACAUGAUACUGCGAGACUAGAGUAA
RNAcentral lists this ribosomal RNA (305 nucleotides) under uncultured bacterium. Its description in RNAcentral is "bacterial SSU rRNA". It matches the Rfam family "Bacterial small subunit ribosomal RNA", at positions 333 to 649 of the family's 1533-position model. The record is from RNAcentral.